AGAACCUGAAACCGUGUGCUUACAAGUAGUCAGAGCCCGUUAAUGGGUGAUGGCGUGCCUUUUGUAGAAUGAACCGGCGAGUUACGAUUUGAUGCAAGGUUAAGCAGUAAAUGUGGAGCCGUAGCGAAAGCGAGUCUGAAUAGGGCGUUUAGUAUUUGGUCGUAGACCCGAAACCAGGUGAUCUACCCUUGGUCAGGUUGAAGUUCAGGUAACACUGAAUGGAGGACCGAACCGACUUACGUUGAAAAGUGAGCGGAUGAACUGAGGGUAGCGGAGAAAUUCCAAUCGAACCUGGAGAUAGCUGGUUCUCUCCGAAAUA
This 319-nucleotide ribosomal RNA is filed under the name Staphylococcus aureus. Its description in RNAcentral is "partial 23S ribosomal RNA". It matches the Rfam family "Bacterial large subunit ribosomal RNA", at positions 545 to 866 of the family's 2925-position model. Lineage: Bacteria; Bacillati; Bacillota; Bacilli; Caryophanales; Staphylococcaceae. The record is from RNAcentral.